Molecule: long non-coding RNA, 559 nt
Organism: Amphimedon queenslandica
Lineage: Eukaryota; Metazoa; Porifera; Demospongiae; Haplosclerida; Niphatidae
Exons: 2
Source: RefSeq, a predicted model, not a curated record
AAUGACAGAACGAGUGCACUAUAGCACAUGCCCUCGCCACAAUCAGUGUAACAUAACUGCAGUAUAUUACUCUUGUAGAUACGAUUAUUAACAAUCAAAAGAUCAACCAACAACAACAGAAUCAAACAUUUAUAUACUAAUACACAAAUUAUGAAAUAGCUUCACAUUAACACAAAGUAUUAAGAAGGGAUCUACUACAGACAAGACAUACAACCAAUAAUUAAAUCUAGGCAUACAUUAUAACACAUUACAUUUAAUUAAAAUUCAGGGUUCUACAGUCACAUAAUUUCAAAAACACAAAUGAAACAUUAAUUUGUUCUUCAGAGAAUGCUGCUGACUUACUGUUACUGUACACAUUAGCUUGCUCAGCCUUGCAUUGCUUGCUGCAGCAAUUGAAGGUGUGGCUCAAAUUAAGCACCGCCUACUUCAUAGUUACACAAUGGACAGUUACUGGUAAAAAAAGCUUCAGUUUUCUACGCUUAUACACAGUUUAUGACACAAUAAUCAGGCUCUACUUGUUGUAUACAAACUUGAUAGUAAGAAUCUACAGUUUAAAAGA